AGUGAACGCUGGCGGUAGACCUAACACAUGCAAGUCGAACGGCAGCACAGUAAGAGCUUGCUCUUACGGGUGGCGAGUGGCGGACGGGCGAGGAAUACAUCGGAAUCUACUUUUUCGUGGGGGAUAACGUAGGGAAACUUACGCUAAUACCGCAUACGACCUACGGGUGAAAGCAGGGGAUCUUCGGACCUUGCGCGAUUGAAUGAGCCGAUGUCGGAUUAGCUAGUUGGCGGGGUAAAGGCCCACCAAGGCGACGAUCCGUAGCUGGUCUGAGAGGAUGAUCAGCCACACUGGAACUGAGACACGGUCCAGACUCCUACGGGAGGCAGCAGUGGGGAAUAUUGGACAAUGGGCGCAAGCCUGAUCCAGCCAUACCGCGUGGGUGAAGAAGGCCUUCGGGUUGUAAAGCCCUUUUGUUGGGAAAGAAAAGCAGCAGGUUAAUACCCCGCUGUUCUGACGGUACCCAAAGAAUAAGCACCGGCUAACUUCGUG
Molecule: ribosomal RNA, 492 nt
Filed under: uncultured bacterium
Lineage: Bacteria
Description: partial 16S ribosomal RNA
Rfam family: Bacterial small subunit ribosomal RNA
Source: RNAcentral